GAUGAACGCUGGCGGCGUGCCUAAUACAUGCAAGUCGAGCGAACAGAUGAGGAGCUUGCUCCUCUGACGUUAGCGGCGGACGGGUGAGUAACACGUGGAUAACCUACCUAUAAGACUGGGAUAACUUCGGGAAACCGGAGCUAAUACCGGAUAAUAUAUUGAACCGCAUGGUUCAAUAGUGAAAGACGGUUUUGCUGUCACUUAUAGAUGGAUCCGCGCCGCAUUAGCUAGUUGGUAAGGUAACGGCUUACCAAGGCAACGAUGCGUAGCCGACCUGAGAGGGUGAUCGGCCACACUGGAACUGAGACACGGUCCAGACUCCUACGGGAGGCAGCAGUAGGGAAUAUUCCGCAAUGAGCGAAAGCCUGACGGAGCAACGCCGCGUGAGUGAUGAAGGUCUUCGGAUCGUAAAACUCUGUUAUUAGGGAAGAACAAAUGUGUAAGUAACUAUGCACGUCUUGACGGUACCUAAUCAGAAAGCCACGGCUAACUACGUG
This 497-nucleotide ribosomal RNA is filed under the name uncultured bacterium. RNAcentral's name for it is "partial 16S ribosomal RNA". It matches the Rfam family "Bacterial small subunit ribosomal RNA", at positions 28 to 507 of the family's 1533-position model. The record is from RNAcentral.